Molecule: long non-coding RNA, 1125 nt
Filed under: Cyanistes caeruleus (blue tit)
Lineage: Eukaryota; Metazoa; Chordata; Aves; Passeriformes; Paridae
Description: lncRNA (ENSCCEG00000022724.1)
Source: RNAcentral
CUGCAACUGGUUCAGAAAGACCUUGACUGAGCCUGAGCUAGCAAAUCCCAGUAAACUCAUGUAUGCUCUUUGUUGCCACAGAAGUGGUGUUAUACAAGAGCAGCUAUUGAGGCCUGACUGCACCACCUGGGUCCAGCCAAUGUAAGUAUUACUCAGCCUCCUGCUUCUGGGCUAGAGAGAUCUGCAGUGGGUUUGACCUCUCUUAAACCUUUCAGCUUAUGCAUUUACACACUGUUAUGUUUGAGCUAACCAUCCCUUUCCAUUAAAAUACUUUAGUCCUUUUCCAUUAAACUUCCCAUUUAAAGUAAUUCAUGAUUACACAUCUCCAUGACAAGAAUAGUGGAAAGUUGACUGUAUGGGCUUUUUCUUCUUAUCUUCUAAGCUUUAUCCCUUUUAAUAAGCUGGAAAGCAGAAGAAAAUUUCAGGGAACGUGCCUUUGUUAAAUGAGGAACUAGGGCUUGGUGGAAGUAGCAGCAAAUAAUUCAUCCAAAGAUAGCAGAGCUGCUCAUGAGAGGAAAAAUUUGAGAAUGGGAGCCUAACAUGACUGUGGACCUUGUCCUACCAGACACACACUGUGGAAAUCCAGACAGAAGCUGGCAUAUCUCACAUCUCAGCUGCCAGGGAGUUUUCCAGCUGUCCCAUGGCUCAGCAGAGCUUCACCUACUGCAGAGUACUCAACCAGAUCCUCCCUCCCUAUGCAAGGUUAAAAGCCAGUUUCUCUGCCAGUUUCUUCUUUUUCCAGUAAGAAAGUAAUUGCAGGCAUGUUAUGAUUUUCUUCCCUCUCACAACAAGCAAACAUAGUUUUCUCUCAUCGUGUACUCCAGAACUUGAGUAAUUUGAGAAGGUAAGGAUUAGGUUUUUGGAUUUUGUUUUUGUUUUCCCUCCCUACUUCUGAAAUUUGACAUAAAGUUUUCUGUCUGCUUACUGAGAUUUUGGGGGGGGGUAAACUGUGAACUUUUGACAUCAUCUGAGACAGCUAUAUGCUGCAAUAACUAGGUAUAGUGUGAAGUUACUGCAGUGUAGGAAGUAGUAUUUGGAAUAUCACAUGCAGUUACAUUUCCAAAAAUGUCAUAUUAACCCAAUAGAUUAGGUCAGUAUAAUUCCUUCCCAUUGACUCCAGAAAGC